This 59-nucleotide transfer RNA is filed under the name Guillardia theta. It matches the Rfam family "tRNA", at positions 8 to 63 of the family's 71-position model. Rfam says of the family: Transfer RNA (tRNA) molecules are approximately 80 nucleotides in length. The record is from RNAcentral. Lineage: Eukaryota; Cryptophyceae; Pyrenomonadales; Geminigeraceae.
CUAGCUCAGAGGUUAGAGCGUCGUGCUAAUAACGCGAAUGUCACAGGUUCGAAUCCUGU